Molecule: ribosomal RNA, 1417 nt
Filed under: Alcaligenes faecalis
Lineage: Bacteria; Pseudomonadati; Pseudomonadota; Betaproteobacteria; Burkholderiales; Alcaligenaceae
Description: bacterial SSU rRNA
Rfam family: Bacterial small subunit ribosomal RNA
Source: RNAcentral
ACAUGCAAGUCGAACGGCAGCGACGUAGAGAGCUUGCUUCUCUUGGCGGCGAGUGGCGGACGGGUGAGUAAUAUAUCGUGAACGGUGCCCUAAUAGCGGGGGAUAACCUACUCGAAAGAGUGGCUAAUACCGCAUACGCCCUACGGGGGAAAGGGGGGGAUCGCAAGACCUCUCACUAUUGUGAGCGGCCGAUAUCGGAUUAGCUAGUUGGUGGGGUAAAGGCUCACCAAGGCCACGAUCCGUAGCUGGUUUGAGAGGACUGACCAGCCACACUGGGACUGAGACACGGCCCAGACUCCUACGGGAGGCAGCAGUGGGGAAUUUUGGACAAUGGGGGAAACCCUGAUCCAUNCCAUCCCGCGUGUAUGAUGAAAGCCUUCAGGGUUGUAAAGUACUUUUGGCUCUAGAAGAAAAGGUAUCUCCUAUUACGAUGUACUGCUGACGGUAUCUGCAGAAUAAGCACCGGCUAACUACGUGCCAGCAGCCGCGGUAAUACGUAGGGUGCAAGCGUUAAUCGGAAUUACUGGGCGUAAAGCGUGUGUAGGCGGUUCGGAAAGAUUCAUGUGAAAUCCCAUGGCUCAACCUUGGAACUGCAUUUUUAACUGCCGAGCUCUGAGUAUGUCUGAGGGGGGUAGAAUUCCACGUGUAUCAGUGUAAAUGCGUAGAUAUGUGGAGGAAUACCGAUGGCGAAGGCWGNCCCCCUGGGAUAAUACUGACGCUCAUACACGCAAAGCGUGGGGAGCAAACAGGAUUAAAUACCCUGGUAUUCCACGCCCUAAACGAUGUCAACUAACUAUUGGGGCCGUUAGACCUUAUUAGCGCAUCUAACGCGUGAAUUUGACCGCCUGGGGAGUACCGUCGCAAGAUUAAAACUCAAAGGAAUUGACGGGGACCCGCACAAGCGGUGGAUGAUGUGGAUUAAUUCGAUGCAACGCGAAAAACCUUACCUACCCUUGACAUGUCUGGAAAGCCGAAGAGAUUUGGCCGUGCUCGCAAGAGAACCGGAACACAGGUGCUGCAUGGCUGUCGUCAGCUCGUGUCGUGAGAUGUUGGGUUAAGUCCCGCAACGAGCGCAACCCUUGUCAUUAGUUGCUACGCAAGAGCACUCUAAUGAGACUGCCGGUGACAAACCGGAGGAAGGUGGGGAUGACGUCAAGUCCUCAUGGCCCUUAUGGGUAGGGCUUCACACGUCAUACAAUGGUCGGGACAGAGGGUCGCCAACCCGCGAGGGGGAGCCAAUCUCAGAAACCCGAUCGUAGUCCGGAUCGCAGUCUGCAACUCGACUGCGUGAAGUCGGAAUCGCUAGUAAUCGCGGAUCAGAAUGUCGCGGUGAAUACGUUCCCGGGUCUUGUACACACCGCCCGUCACACCAUGGGAGUGGGUUUCACCAGAAGUAGGUAGCCUAACCCGUAAGGAG